Molecule: unclassified non-coding RNA, 196 nt
Filed under: uncultured fungus
Lineage: Eukaryota; Fungi
Description: sequence contains ITS1
Source: RNAcentral
UUAACUUAUUACAAUAUUACUCAGACAACACAAAAAUCAAGAGUUUAGGGUCCUCUGGCAGGCGCGGACCAGCCUAGGCCAGUGGUCAUAAGACGGGCCUGCCAAAGCAACAAAGGUAAUAUAGACAAAGGGUGGGAGAUCUACCCCGGAGGGCAAUUUCUCUGUAAUGAUCCUUCCGCAGGUUCACCUACGGAAA